RNAcentral lists this ribosomal RNA (1173 nucleotides) under Staphylococcus aureus. RNAcentral describes it as "partial 23S ribosomal RNA". It matches the Rfam family "Bacterial large subunit ribosomal RNA", at positions 12 to 1181 of the family's 2925-position model. Lineage: Bacteria; Bacillati; Bacillota; Bacilli; Caryophanales; Staphylococcaceae. The record is from RNAcentral.
UAAGGGCGCACGGUGGAUGCCUUGGCACUAGAAGCCGAUGAAGGACGUUACUAACGACGAUAUGCUUUGGGGAGCUGUAAGUAAGCUUUGAUCCAGAGAUUUCCGAAUGGGGAAACCCAGCAUGAGUUAUGUCAUGUUAUCGAUAUGUGAAUACAUAGCAUAUCAGAAGGCACACCCGGAGAACUGAAACAUCUUAGUACCCGGAGGAAGAGAAAGAAAAUUCGAUUCCCUUAGUAGCGGCGAGCGAAACGGGAAGAGCCCAAACCAACAAGCUUGCUUGUUGGGGUUGUAGGACACUCUAUACGGAGUUACAAAGGACGACAUUAGACGAAUCAUCUGGAAAGAUGAAUCAAAGAAGGUAAUAAUCCUGUAGUCGAAAAUGUUGUCUCUCUUGAGUGGAUCCUGAGUACGACGGAGCACGUGAAAUUCCGUCGGAAUCUGGGAGGACCAUCUCCUAAGGCUAAAUACUCUCUAGUGACCGAUAGUGAACCAGUACCGUGAGGGAAAGGUGAAAAGCACCCCGGAAGGGGAGUGAAAUAGAACCUGAAACCGUGUGCUUACAAGUAGUCAGAGCCCGUUAAUGGGUGAUGGCGUGCCUUUUGUAGAAUGAACCGGCGAGUUACGAUUUGAUGCAAGGUUAAGCAGUAAAUGUGGAGCCGUAGCGAAAGCGAGUCUGAAUAGGGCGUUUAGUAUUUGGUCGUAGACCCGAAACCAGGUGAUCUACCCUUGGUCAGGUUGAAGUUCAGGUAACACUGAAUGGAGGACCGAACCGACUUACGUUGAAAAGUGAGCGGAUGAACUGAGGGUAGCGGAGAAAUUCCAAUCGAACCUGGAGAUAGCUGGUUCUCUCCGAAAUAGCUUUAGGGCUAGCCUCAAGUGAUGAUUAUUGGAGGUAGAGCACUGUUUGGACGAGGGGCCCCUCUCGGGUUACCGAAUUCAGACAAACUCCGAAUGCCAAUUAAUUUAACUUGGGAGUCAGAACAUGGGUGAUAAGGUCCGUGUUCGAAAGGGAAACAGCCCAGACCACCAGCUAAGGUCCCAAAAUAUAUGUUAAGUGGAAAAGGAUGUGGCGUUGCCCAGACAACUAGGAUGUUGGCUUAGAAGCAGCCAUCAUUUAAAGAGUGCGUAAUAGCUCACUAGUCGAGUGACACUGCGCCGAAAAUGUACCGGGGC